GACGAACGCUGGCGGCGUGCCUAAUACAUGCAAGUAGAACGCUGAAGGAGGAGCUUGCUUCUCUGGAUGAGUUGCGAACGGGUGAGUAACGCGUAGGUAACCUGCCUGGUAGCGGGGGAUAACUAUUGGAAACGAUAGCUAAUACCGCAUAAUAGUAGAUGUUGCAUGACAUUUGCUUAAAAGGUGCAAUUGCAUCACUACCAGAUGGACCUGCGUUGUAUUAGCUAGUUGGUGGGGUAACGGCUCACCAAGGCGACGAUACAUAGCCGACCUGAGAGGGUGAUCGGCCACACUGGGACUGGGACACGGCCCAGACUCCUACGGGAGGCAGCAGUAGGGAAUCUUCGGCAAUGGGCGGAAGUCUGACCGAGCAACGCCGCGUGAGUGAAGAAGGUUUUCGGAUCGUAAAGCUCUGUUGUAAGGGAAGAACGAGUGUGGGAGUGGAAAGUUCACACUGUGACGGUAUCUUACCAGAAAGGGACGGCUAACUACGUG
RNAcentral lists this ribosomal RNA (495 nucleotides) under uncultured bacterium. RNAcentral describes it as "partial 16S ribosomal RNA". It matches the Rfam family "Bacterial small subunit ribosomal RNA", at positions 28 to 507 of the family's 1533-position model. The record is from RNAcentral.